GUAAAAUAACAAACAGGCAAAAACACCUGCAUGUGGCCCACGGGCUGUAGCUUGAGGACACCUGCUCUAGGGCGUAUGGGUGGUCGUGCAGGGCGCCCUGUCCCUUCCUUCUCUGUGCCCUAGGCAGGCUGGUGCGCGGGAGGGGCGGAGGCCGCUGCUGCGCGGGAGGCUGCUGGCUGCUGGCGAGAGGAGGGCGCUGAAUCCAAGCCCGAGCCUGGAAGGAAGAGCAGAAAUCCGCCUCGGCUGCGCCAGGGAAGGCAGGCGUGGGGCAGGCACAGGGGCCAGGAAGGCUGCGGGACUCAGACACAGUGGGGGGCCCAAGCCACCCCACCUAGGUCUGUCCCAUUGGCAGCUGCAGAAAAGUGAGUCCAGAGCUUGAGCAAGUGUCACCUCGCCUUCCGUCUAGACGCUCCCUUCCAGCGUCCUCUUCUGUAACUCAGCUGGGGACAGGAGAACUGGCCUUCUUGAAGCCACCGACCCCACUGCGAGCUUCCGCAUGCAAAGCCUUGGAGAUGGCCCAGCCCCUUCCUGCCAAGUGCACGCCAUGGCGGUGGCCAUGCCAGCCUGCCCCCGUUGCUCAUCCAGGGCCUCCUGCACAAGCCACCCUCUGGACCCCUGGGGACUUGGAGCAUCCUGCCACAAGACCCAAGCCCAGGCGGACCCUCCGUUCUUGCCUGCACCUGUGGAGAGGGAGCCCCACUGGACCGAGACAGAGCAGCCAGGCCCCCACAGACGCCGAGCCAUGGCAAGGGGGACUGGGCUCCGGGGCUGCCGGACAGAGCCGCACAGACAACAGACAUCUACUGUCUCAGUUCUGGAGGCUGGAAGUCCAAGGUCCUGGCUCAAGGGAUCCUCUCACCUCAGCCUCCCAAAGUGCUGGGGUUGAUUCCAAGCCUGAGCCGCGGCACCCAGCCUCGGCCCUUUGAACGUGCGGGCUUCACAUCCAGGCUGCUCUGCAACCCUGCCCAGCCCCAGGCCCAGGGCUGCGAACGGCACCUCUACAACCUUUGGGUUUGAAUCCACAUGCCAUCUGUGUCCCUCCUCUAUAUCAAUUGAGGGCCUAAGUACCAUCUCUUUGGGGUUGUAAGGAUUGAACGAGGUCACAGGAAUCUGUGUCUACUGAGGUGUGUGCUGAAACUCAGCAGCUCCUUUCUCCUAUUCUGUCCUUGCCCCUACCCCCACCCCACCUUUGACCUCUAGGGGAUGGGUUUCCAACAUAGGAGAUGCCAAGAAUGAGCCAUGUAAAGCCAUCCCAGUCACCUGGCUGCUGCAUAGUGUCAUUCACAUGAGCGCAUCUAGUAACCAAGGUGGGAUUUUGCUACGUUGCCCAGGCUGGUCUUGAACUCUUGGGCCCAAGCAAACCCUGCACCUGAGCCUGCUGAGUAAGGUAGGAUCCUACAACAGGAGAGCAACACAGCCGCGGAUGGCUUAGACCUGUCCCCUUACGCCUGGAGCCAAGAGAGGGCGGGCCCAGCUCCCCAGAACAGGAUCCUUGCAAAGGAGUGAGCUGAGGAGCUUGUACCGGCAAGGAGGAAGAAGGGGCCUCUGUAAGAGACUGGUGGGAGCCAACUGUGCGUGCCUGCUUGACGCUGCCCUGCAUGUCGCUUCCUCGCGGCCCCUGGCACCCUCUUGGCCCUCAGUGGGAGCGUCGCUCGUCUCCAAAAAUCUUAGCGUACUUACUCUUGUGUUUAGCACACCUUUAUCAGGUGACACAGUCCUUUCCUAUCCCUCUUUCAUAAGAGCUUUUUAAAAUUAUCAAUAGAUAUUGAACCUGAUCAUCCUGUCUGUGCCCACCAAAGGGCGUCCUCGAGAUGGUGGUGUUCCCGCCCCUCUUUGCCCACGUGGUGAACAGCACUGAUUUUUCUGAUCUUUUUUUUUUUAAGACUAGUCAAGUGCAGUAGUGAGGAGGGGGGAAAGAAUUUUUCUGAUCUUGAACAAGCACUGUUUGGUUUCCAUGUAUCUUUUUUUUUUUUCUUGGUACCUCUUUGGAUUUGGUUAGCUGAUAAUUUACUUUGGAGUUCUGCAUCCAAGUUUUUAAUUGAAACUGGCCAAAUAAAGGCAGAUUUUGAAAGGAGAGAUUUAGGUAGUCUUACUAAACAGUGAGACAGCUUGUCUUUCCCCUAUUUGCUUUUCAGAUCUCCCCAUGCGCCUUACAGUGGUAGUUGGCGUAAAUGCUAAAUCAUAUUGCGCUUUCCACCAGACACUAUAGCUCUAUGCAGGCCACAUAAUAUUCAAAUACAUCAUUUUAUUUAUUUA
Non-coding RNA from Microcebus murinus (gray mouse lemur), 2256 nucleotides. Lineage: Eukaryota; Metazoa; Chordata; Mammalia; Primates; Cheirogaleidae. The record is from RefSeq and is a predicted model, not a curated record.